GGAAAAUUCCGCUAUAUGCGUCGCAUAGUACUUUAGUGCGUUGCAAAAGCCCAAUGUGCGUCGGAUGGGCCAUGAGGUCCGAUGCAGAUCUGCGGCCCACCUAUCCUAACCGCGCCCCUUAACAUCUCUAACCUAAAUCUCUCACUCUCACCGCGCCGCUUCUCACUCUCACUCUCACUCUCACUCUCAAAUUCUCCUCUCUCACUCUCACUUUAUUCUCUCCUGCUCAAUGUUCGUUCCUUCCAAAUUCUCUCUGCUACGGGGUCAUGGGGUCUUAAUACAGAAAUUGUGAAGCAUCAAAGUAUAAGAGGGAAGAAGACUGAAGACCCAACCACCAUAUUGCUUCAAAUUCUCUCUUAUCUCUUCUUCUUUUCCUCCAGUAUAAAGGAUAUCAUAUCGCUGACAAUAUUAAAGCUCCUUUUUCCAUUUGUAUUUCUGGGCGAAGAUGAACGGCGACUGUAGUUGGUUGAAGAUUGAAGAACAUUGAGAUUAUUAAAUUCAGAUUCAGAUUGAAGAACGCAAGUAUUAGAUUCAGAUUUGAGGUUUUUUUUAAAAAAAAAAAAUCUCGUAAGUUGUAUUGGAUGAGCUUUUAAUUUUAGAUUGUAUUAGCCUUCGGUUUUUUUAAUGUUUUUGGAUCUAUGUAAUUCAAGUUGUAAUUGUAAAUUUUUUUGUGUUAGAGCA
This is a long non-coding RNA of Beta vulgaris subsp. vulgaris (sugar beet), 681 nucleotides long. RefSeq lists it as uncharacterized. The transcript is spliced from 2 exons. The record is from RefSeq and is a predicted model, not a curated record. NCBI's taxonomy places the organism in Eukaryota, Viridiplantae, Streptophyta, Magnoliopsida, Caryophyllales, Amaranthaceae.